AAGAACUAACAAGGAUUCCCCUAGUAACUGCGAGUGAAGCGGGAAAAGCUCAAAUUUAAAAUCUGGUAGUCUCUGGCUGCCCGAGUUGUAAUCUAGAGAAGCGUUAUCCGCGCUGGACCGUGUAUAAGUCUCCUGGAAUGGAGCGUCAUAGAGGGUGAGAAUCCCGUCUUUGACACGGACUACCAGGGCUUUGUGAUGCGCUCUCAAAGAGUCGAGUUGUUUGGGAAUGCAGCUCUAAAUGGGUGGUAAAUUCCAUCUAAAGCUAAAUAUUGGCGAGAGACCGAUAGCGAACAAGUACCGUGAGGGAAAGAUGAAAAGAACUUUGGAAAGAGAGUUAAACAGUACGUGAAAUUGUUGAAAGGGAAACGCUUGAAGUCAGUCGCGUUGGCUAGGAAUCAGCCUUGCUUUUGCUUGGUGUACUUCCUUGUUGACGGGUCAGCAUCAAUUUUGACCGGUGGAAAAAGGCUAGUGGAAUGUGGCAUCUUCGGAUGUGUUAUAGCUGCUAGUUGUAUACAUCGGUUGGGAUUGAGGAACUCAGCACGCCGAAAGGUCGGGGUUUUGCCCACGUUCGUGCUUAGGAUGCUGGCAUAAUGGCUUUAAUCGACCCGUCUUGAAACACGGACCAAGGAGUCUAACAUGCCUGCGAGUGUUUGGGUGGAAAACCCGAGCGCGUAAUGAAAGUGAAAGUUGAGAUCCCUGUCGUGGGGAGCAUCGACGCCCGGACCAGACCUUUUGUGACGGAUCCGCGGUAGAGCAUGUAUGUUGGGACCCGAAAGAUGGUGAACUAUGCCUGAAUAGGGUGAAGCCAGAGGAAACUCUGGUGGAGGCUCGUAGCGAUUCUGACGUGCAAAUCGAUCGUCAAAUUUGGGUAUAGGGGCGAAGACUAUCGAACC
This 893-nucleotide ribosomal RNA is filed under the name Clitopilus rugosiceps. RNAcentral describes it as "partial large subunit ribosomal RNA". It matches the Rfam family "Eukaryotic large subunit ribosomal RNA", at positions 56 to 941 of the family's 3401-position model. The record is from RNAcentral. Lineage: Eukaryota; Fungi; Basidiomycota; Agaricomycetes; Agaricales; Entolomataceae.